This 265-nucleotide ribosomal RNA is filed under the name uncultured bacterium. Its description in RNAcentral is "partial 16S ribosomal RNA". It matches the Rfam family "Bacterial small subunit ribosomal RNA", at positions 524 to 794 of the family's 1533-position model. The record is from RNAcentral.
UACGGAGGGUGCAAGCGUUAAUCGGAAUUACUGGGCGUAAAGCGCACGUAGGUGGUUUGUUAAGCUAGCUGUGAAAUCCCCGGGCGUCAACCUGGGCGACUGCAGUUAGAACUGGCAAGCUAGAGUAGGUAGAGGGUGUGAUCAGUGUAGCGGUGAAUGCGUAGAUAUGUGGAGGAACACCAGUGGCGAAGGCGACCACCUGGACUGAUACUGACACUGAGGUGCGAAAGCGUGGGGAGCAAACAGGAUUAGAAACCCCGGUAGU